CGAAGCUGGAAUCGCUAGUAAUCGCGGAUCAGCACGCCGCGGUGAAUACGUUCCCGGGCCUUGUACACACCGCCCGUCACACCAUGGAAGUCUGCAAUGCCCGAAGCCGGUGGCCUAACCACUUAUGUGGAAGGAGCCGUCUAAGGCGGGGCAGAUGACUGGGGUGAAGUCGUAACAAGGUAGC
RNAcentral lists this ribosomal RNA (184 nucleotides) under uncultured bacterium. RNAcentral describes it as "partial 16S ribosomal RNA". It matches the Rfam family "Bacterial small subunit ribosomal RNA", at positions 1321 to 1500 of the family's 1533-position model. The record is from RNAcentral.